UGUAUUAUAUAAUACAUUAUUUGAGUACCAUAUUUUUAAAUUAAUUAAGUUUUCAUAUUAAGAAUUCUAUAUAGACUAAAGCUUGGCUCUGACUUUAAGCAUGAUAAAGAACUAAAGAAUACACAUGGUUUUUAUAGAAAGAGGCGAGGGGAAGAAAAUCAUAUAUUUAAAUUGAAAAAAUUAAUUCCUGUAUUUUCUUCGUAGUAUUAUAGAAUUAGAUGAUACAUUGAAAUGUCCCGCUAACACCAGUGCUGAAUGUUAAAAAAAAAGUGUAAACUUGAAUUAAUUUAGUUCAAAAAAUCUGGUUAACUUGGUGCCAGCAUCCGCGGUUAAACCAAGAAGAUUAAGUCAUGCAUUUUCGGUGAAAAGACAGUUAAGUAGUAUAAAAGCUUUUUAAAUUGUUAUUAAGAAGUAAAAUUCGCAAAUAAUCUAGAAACUUAAUUAAAGCUAAAAAACUGAAGCUGUGACACCCUCGAGGGAAACUGGGAUUAGAUACCCCAUUAUUCUUGGAUAUAAAAAGAUAUAAGUUUACCAGAGUACUAUGGAUUGAUAACAUUUAAAACUCAAAGAGCUUGGCGGUGUUUUAGACUCUUUAGGGGAACCUGUCUCAUAAUCGACAAUCCACGUUAAACCUGACCUUUAUUUGCAUUCAGUUUGUAUACCGUCGUCGUCAGGUAACUUUUUAGAAAAAAGGAGUUAGCAACUGAGUUAACGAUAAACUCUCACGUCAGAUCAAGGUGCAGCCGACAUAAAGGGGAGGAUGGGUUACAAUUAUAAGAAUUAUAACUACGGAAUAACAACUUUAAAUAGAAGUUAUGAAGGAGGACUUAAAAGUAAAAUAAAAUAGUUAAGUAUAUUGAAUCGAGCUCUGAAACGUGCACACAUCGCCCGUCGCUCUCGUUGAAAAACGAGAUAAGUCGUAACAUAGCAGGGGUAAUGGAAAUUGCCCCUAAAU
Molecule: ribosomal RNA, 955 nt
Filed under: Indothais sacellum
Lineage: Eukaryota; Metazoa; Mollusca; Gastropoda; Neogastropoda; Muricidae
Description: small subunit ribosomal RNA
Source: RNAcentral